GACGAACGCUGGCGGCGUGCUUAACACAUGCAAGUCGAACGGAAAGGCCCUGCUUUUGUGGGGUGCUCGUGUGGCGAACGGGUGAGUAACACGUGAGUAACCUGCCCUUGACUUUGGGAUAACUUCAGGAAACUGGGGCUAAUACCGGAUAGGAGCUCCUGCUGCAUGGUGGGGGUUGGAAAGUUUCGGCGGUUGGGGAUGGACUCGCGGCUUAUCAGCUUGUUGGUGGGGUAGUGGCUUACCAAGGCUUUGACGGAUAGCCGGCCUGAGAGGGUGACCGGGCUCAUUGGGACUGAGAUACGGCCCAGACUCCUACGGGAGGCAGCAGUGGGAAAUAUUGCGCAAUGGGCGGAAGCCUGAUACAGCAACGCCGCGUGCGGGAUAACGGCCUUCGGGUUGUAAACCGCUUUCGCCUGUGACGAAGCGUGAGUGACGGUAAUGAGUAAGGAAGCACCGGCUAACUACGUG
Molecule: ribosomal RNA, 468 nt
Filed under: uncultured bacterium
Lineage: Bacteria
Description: partial 16S ribosomal RNA
Rfam family: Bacterial small subunit ribosomal RNA
Source: RNAcentral